RNAcentral lists this ribosomal RNA (206 nucleotides) under uncultured bacterium. Its description in RNAcentral is "partial 16S ribosomal RNA". It matches the Rfam family "Bacterial small subunit ribosomal RNA", at positions 568 to 774 of the family's 1533-position model. The record is from RNAcentral.
UGCGUAGGCGGCCGUGCAAGUCUGGCGCGAAAGCCCCGGGCUCAGCCCGGGAAGUGCGCUCGAAACUGCGCGGCUCGAGUGCCGGAGGGGAGAGUGGAAUUCCUGGUGUAGCGGUGAAAUGCGUAGAUAUCAGGAGGAAUACCGGUGGCGAAAGCGACUCUCUGGACGGCAACUGACGCUGAGGCACGAAAGCGUGGGAGCAAACA